Lactuca sativa (garden lettuce) is the source of this 687-nucleotide long non-coding RNA. RefSeq lists it as uncharacterized. NCBI's taxonomy places the organism in Eukaryota, Viridiplantae, Streptophyta, Magnoliopsida, Asterales, Asteraceae. The record is from RefSeq and is a predicted model, not a curated record.
UUGCAGCUUCCUCACGAUCAUCAUCAAUGUUAAACUUCCCAUCCUCCUUGCCUAGCGCCAUAUUCUUCUUCAAGUCGAAUAUAAAUGGCAUGUAAUUGUAAUUUCGUUGUUCUCUUUCUUGCCCUUUCUCAAUCUUAAAUUUUGCCCUAAUGUUGUUAUCAGAUGAAGAUUAUACAACGAGUAGCAGAAGACCACACAAACAAUUCAUCCUCCUUUUUUCCCUUUCUCAAUCUUCGAGUUUCCCCUAAUAUUGUUAUCAGGUGAAGAUUAUACAACGACUCAACCAAUAGCAGAAGAGAACACAAACAGUGAUUUGUAAAUCAUUUCAUAUGAAAUUAGAGUUGUGCAAAGGUUUCCGUUUGGUUGCUGUGUGAAGACCUAAGAAUUCAGAGCUAUUGUUGAUGUCCAUUUCUGGUUUAAUUGCUUCUGGUUAUAUUUUCUCCUUCUAAUCUUGAUUGCUUCUUUAGUGAAUCAAUUUUACUUAGCUGCUAUUAUAGAUUUUGUUGUUCUUCUUCUAUCCCCCUUCUUUUUUCAAACAUAAUCAACACAUAUGCAACAAGAAUCUCGAAUCGAUGAAAUCCCUAUAUUCAUUUUAGACUAAUGCAUUUGUUAUGAAUGUUGCAGGAAUCCGGAUAUGUUACAAAAAGAAAGCUAUUACAAUUUUAUCAUCAGGUGUUCCAGUUUCAA